Molecule: transfer RNA, 72 nt
Filed under: Protoreaster nodosus
Lineage: Eukaryota; Metazoa; Echinodermata; Asteroidea; Valvatida; Oreasteridae
Description: tRNA-Gln
Rfam family: tRNA
About the family: Transfer RNA (tRNA) molecules are approximately 80 nucleotides in length. Their secondary structure includes four short double-helical elements and three loops (D, anti-codon, and T loops). Further hydrogen bonds mediate the characteristic L-shaped molecular structure. tRNAs have two regions of fundamental functional importance: the anti-codon, which is responsible for specific mRNA codon recognition, and the 3' end, to which the tRNAs corresponding amino acid is attached (by aminoacyl-tRNA synthetases). tRNAs cope with the degeneracy of the genetic code in two manners: having more than one tRNA (with a specific anti-codon) for a particular amino acid; and 'wobble' base-pairing, i.e. permitting non-standard base-pairing at the 3rd anti-codon position.
Source: RNAcentral
UUGAAAGUAGUUUAACCGGUAAAACAGAGAACUUUGACUUCUCAAAUGUAAGUUCAACCCUUAUCUUCCUAA